GUGCUAGCUUCGGCAGCACAUACAGUAAAAUUGGAGAGAAGAUUAGCAUGGCCUCUGUGCAAGGAUGACAUGCAGAUUUGUGAAGCGUUCUAUAUUUUU
Molecule: small nuclear RNA, 99 nt
Organism: Oryctolagus cuniculus (rabbit)
Lineage: Eukaryota; Metazoa; Chordata; Mammalia; Lagomorpha; Leporidae
Source: Ensembl